RNAcentral lists this long non-coding RNA (520 nucleotides) under Rhinopithecus bieti (black snub-nosed monkey). RNAcentral describes it as "lncRNA (ENSRBIG00000045886.1)". Lineage: Eukaryota; Metazoa; Chordata; Mammalia; Primates; Cercopithecidae. The record is from RNAcentral.
GAUAGAAGCUUCUUAUCCUACUUCACACAGGAAUUAUCAUGCUCCUCAGGGUCCCAGCAUGGAGUCUGUGUUUCUGCUCAGCCUUCUCUUUUCCACAGCCUGCUGGCCCUCUCAGCUCUGUACUGGCUCAGUGUUGAGCUAAGAAUGAGUCUCAGACUUUGAGAUUACUUUUAAAAUAGACAUGAAGAUCAAGAAAGGCUACAUUUGGCAAAAGUGCAUGGAAGAAGGUAGAGAAAUAUGACACAGUAUCUGAAGUCUGACCAGCUUUGUAACUAUCUCCUUCUGAAUGACAUCUUGUGUUUCAUCAGUCGUGAGUCUGAAGAUCAGCUUCUAUGGAAGAAUGCCCAAGCUGCUUCAAGCUCUGGGGUUGUCUCACCAUCAAGGGAUCCCCUUUUACAGCCAAUAUUGUUAUGUUGAUCACACUCACCCAGUGAAGAUGAAGGGAAAGCAGAUUUUGUUUUCAAGUGAGAAAAAAAGCCAUGGAUUACUUGAGUGUAUUCUGUAGGGAAACGGAUUGAGA